CUCUUCUUGUUAUUAAUUUGAAGUAUAACCUGCCCACUGAUAAUUUAUUGAAGGGCCGCGGUAUUUUGACCGUGCAAAGGUAGCAUAAUCAUUAGUCUUUUAAUUGGGGACUGGAAUGAAUGGUUGGACGAGGAAUAAACUGUUUCUUGAAAAUAUAUUUGAAUUUAUAUUUUAAGUAAAAAUACUUAAAUUUAUUUAUGGGACGAGAAGACCCUAUAGAGUUUAAUAAAUUUUAUUAUUUAUAAUGUUAGUUAAAUUUAUUGAUUUUUUAAUAUUUAUUUUGUUGGGGUGAUGGGAAGAAUUAAUAAACUCUUUUUUAAUUUAUAUAUUUAUAUAUAAUUAUUUGAUCCAUUUUUGUUGAUUAUAAGACUAAAUUACCUUAGGGAUAACAGCGUAA
Molecule: ribosomal RNA, 397 nt
Filed under: Platyzosteria sp. W02
Lineage: Eukaryota; Metazoa; Arthropoda; Insecta; Blattodea; Blattidae
Description: partial large subunit ribosomal RNA
Source: RNAcentral